Molecule: ribosomal RNA, 252 nt
Filed under: uncultured bacterium
Lineage: Bacteria
Description: partial 16S ribosomal RNA
Rfam family: Bacterial small subunit ribosomal RNA
Source: RNAcentral
GAUCCUAGCUCAGGAUGAACGCUAGCGGCAGGCUUAACACAUGCAAGUCGAGGGGCAGCACGAGGUAGCAAUACUUUGGUGGCGACCGGCGCACGGGUGCGUAACGCGUAUGCAACCUACCUUUAACAGGGGCAUAACACUGAGAAAUUGGUACUAAUUCUCCAUAACAUUCGAGAAGGCAUCUUCUUGGGUUAAAAACUCCGGUGGUUAAAGAUGGGCAUGCGUUGUAUUAGCUGGUUGGUGAGGUAACGG